UGGAAUGGGGGGAAGGGGGCAGCGGUAAGAGGAAGGGUGGUAGAUGUGUGAGAAAUGAAUGGUCGUAAGGCGCAGCUAGGCGAACUUUUAAGUCAGGUGUGAAAUCCCGGGGCUCAACCUCGGGACUGCCUUUGAUACUGGGAGUCUGGAGUGCGAGAGAGGUGAGUGGAACUCCGAGUGUAGAGGUGAAAUUCGUAGAUAUUCGGAGGAACGCCAGUGGCGAAGGCGGCUCACUGGCUCGGUACUGACGCUGAGGUGCGAAAGCGUGGGGAGCAAACAGGAUUAGAUACCCGAGUAGUC
Molecule: ribosomal RNA, 300 nt
Filed under: uncultured Bacillus sp.
Lineage: Bacteria; Bacillati; Bacillota; Bacilli; Caryophanales; Bacillaceae
Description: bacterial SSU rRNA
Rfam family: Bacterial small subunit ribosomal RNA (bases 52-300)
Source: RNAcentral